GUCCUCAUAGGUAAACGGGAUAUACCUGCUGCCUCCUAAGCGGCCAUUCCAGGUUCGAGUCCUGGUGGGGACGCCA
This 76-nucleotide transfer RNA is filed under the name Maribrevibacterium harenarium. RNAcentral's name for it is "Marinomonas sp. HB171799 tRNA-Arg". It matches the Rfam family "tRNA". Rfam says of the family: Transfer RNA (tRNA) molecules are approximately 80 nucleotides in length. Their secondary structure includes four short double-helical elements and three loops (D, anti-codon, and T loops). Further hydrogen bonds mediate the characteristic L-shaped molecular structure. tRNAs have two regions of fundamental functional importance: the anti-codon, which is responsible for specific mRNA codon recognition, and the 3' end, to which the tRNAs corresponding amino acid is attached (by aminoacyl-tRNA synthetases). tRNAs cope with the degeneracy of the genetic code in two manners: having more than one tRNA (with a specific anti-codon) for a particular amino acid; and 'wobble' base-pairing, i.e. permitting non-standard base-pairing at the 3rd anti-codon position. Lineage: Bacteria; Pseudomonadati; Pseudomonadota; Gammaproteobacteria; Oceanospirillales; Oceanospirillaceae. RNAcentral also lists the same sequence under 1 other name. The record is from RNAcentral.